Molecule: ribosomal RNA, 253 nt
Filed under: uncultured bacterium
Lineage: Bacteria
Description: partial 16S ribosomal RNA
Rfam family: Bacterial small subunit ribosomal RNA
Source: RNAcentral
UACGGAGGGGGCUAGCGUUGUUCGGAAUUACUGGGCGUAAAGCGCACGUAGGCGGCUUUGUAAGUUAGAGGUGAAAGCCCGGAGCUUAACUCCGGAACUGCCUUUAAGACUGCAUCGCUCGAAUCAUGGAGAGGUCAGUGGAAUUCCGAGUGUAGAGGUGAAAUUCGUAGAUAUUCGGAAGAACACCAGUGGCGAAGGCGACUGACUGGACAUGUAUUGACGCUGAGGUGCGAAGGCGUGGGGAGCAAACAGG